This is a long non-coding RNA of Oncorhynchus tshawytscha (Chinook salmon), 923 nucleotides long. NCBI's taxonomy places the organism in Eukaryota, Metazoa, Chordata, Actinopteri, Salmoniformes, Salmonidae. The record is from Ensembl.
GAAAACAGAGAGGAAGAAGAAGAGAAUGAGGAGGGGAAAAGAGAGAGGAAGAAGAGAAUGAGGAGGGGAAAAGAGAGAAGAAGAAGAGAGUGCGGAGGGGGAAAGAGAGAGGAAGAAGAAGAGAAUGAGGAGGGGAAAAGAGAGAGGAAGAAGAAGAGAAUGAGGAGGGGAAAAGAGAGAGGAAGAAGAAGAGAAUGAGGAGGGGAAAAGAGAGAGGAAGAAGACGAGAAUGAGGAGGGUAAAAGAGAGAGGAAGAAGAAGAGAAUGAGGAGGGGAAAAGAGAGAGGAAGAAGAAGAGAAUGAGGAGGGGAAAAGAGAGAGGGGAAGAAGAGAAUGAGGAGGGGAAAAGAGAGAGGAGGAAGAAGAGAAUGAGGAGGGGAAAAGAGAGAGGAAGAAGAAGAGAAUGAGGAGGGAAAAGAGAGAGGAAGAAGAAGAGAAUGAGGAGGGGAAAGAGAGAGGAGGAAGAAGAGAAUGAGGAGGGGAAAAGAGAGAGGAAGAAGAAGAGAGUGCGGAUGGGGAAAGAGAGAGGAAGAAGAGAGUGAGGAGGGGAAAAGAGAGAGGAAGAAGAUGAGAAUGAGGAGGGGAAAAGAGGGAGGAAGAAGAAGAGAAUGAGGAGGGGAAAAGAGAGAAGAGGAAGAGAAUGAGGAGGGGGUAAAGAGAGAGGAAGAAGAAGAGAAUGAGGAGGGGAAAAGAGAGAGGGGGAAGAAGAGAAUGAGGAGGGGAAAAGAGAGAGGACGAAGAAGAGAAUGAGGGGGGAAAAGAGAGGAAGAAGAAGAGAAUGAGGAGGGGAAAAGAGAGAGGGGGAAGAAGAGAAUGAGGAGGGGAAAAGAGAGAGGACGAAGAAGAGAAUGAGGGGGGAAAAGAGAGGAAGAAGAAGAGAAUGAGGAGGGGAAAAGAGAGAGGAAGUAGACGAGAAUGAGGAG